Long non-coding RNA from Felis catus (domestic cat), 1586 nucleotides. RefSeq lists it as uncharacterized. The transcript has 3 exons. NCBI's taxonomy places the organism in Eukaryota, Metazoa, Chordata, Mammalia, Carnivora, Felidae. The record is from RefSeq and is a predicted model, not a curated record.
CAAUGCAGGGCUCAACCUCACGAGAACCUGAGAUCAUGACCUGAGCGGAAAUCAAGACUCAGAUGCUUAACCUCAGACGCUUAACCGACUGUGUCACCCAGGAACCCAGAUUUAUUUUCCUCUUAAGACAAACUUGAAUAUCUAUUGGAGAAAUAUAUACAGCAGAGGAAUCCUUUACAUUAAAGACAAAUUCCCAGAGAAGCACAAAGAAUGAUGAUGGGUCCUCUGAAGAAUGCAAUGGAGCAAAAGGAAGGAACUGUUUGUCCCCAACUGACUGUUUUCUGCAUGAUGUUGGAAGAGGAAGUGAGAGACUCAAGGCACAAGAAAAAUUAACUUCACUAUUGCUGGGUCAAAGAUGGAUGAGUCCACGUGGCAAGAAAUUAGAGUAGGAUCGAAGAGCACCUCUAGGAUCUGAGAGCACCCCUAGCUGACAGCCAUCAAGGAAAUUGGGACUGUAGUCCAACACUCACGAGGAACAAGAAUAAUCUUGGAAGCAGAUUUGCCCCAGAAUCUCCAAAGACCUCAAUCCAACCUACAUGGACACCUUGAUUCCAGCCUUGUGAACUCCUGAGGAGAGAACAUGAUCAUGCUGUGCUAGACUUCUGACCUACAGGCUUAUGAGCUAAUACAUGGGUAUAGCUUUCAGCCAUGAAGUUUGGGUGUAGAUGGUAACUAGAGAAAAUGCAUUACCAUGAUAACAGUUUUUAUAGUGCAUGGUGGGGUUGAAGGUUAUGAAUAUAUUCACACUAGCAUUUCGAUGUACUUUCUACAUUUCUAAAUGGAUUAUGGGUUACUUGCUAAUUAGAAAUAAAGCCCUUAGAAUUUAUUCAUGUAAAAUAUGUUAUAUUUCAGACUUUUAAAAAGUUAUAGUAAAUACUACAAUAGGCAAACAUGUAUAUAACCAAAGUUAUGAAGUAAAACAUUACAGAAAGUAGAUGCCUCCGUGUUACUCUGAAUGCGUUACCCCUAGAGAGACCCACUAUCUAGGGAUGUGAAUAUAUCCCUAAACAAAACACAUGGCUGCUUUAUGUAUUUUUAGUUCUAAUUAUGUAAGUAAUAUAUUUAUAUAUUUAUUAUUGAAAAUUUUCUCUCUGAAAAUAGGUUUUCUAAGAUUUCUCUAAUGAAGUGACCUUGGGACUGGUCAUAUUUUUAGGCAUGCUGCUAUAAGCAUACUUGCACUUGUGCCCAGGACUCUGCAGUACAGACUUAAGAAUGUAGCAACUGACAGGACCUCAUGACUUUUUCUUUUUUUAAAAAAAUGUUUAUUUAUUUUAAGAGAGAGAGAGAGAGAGAGAAAGAGUGCAAAAGUGAGGGAGGGGUAAAGAGAGAAGGAGAGAGAGGAUCCCAAGCAAGCUCUGCACUGCAACAGAGCUGAACAUGGGGCUUGAUAUCAUGAGCCAUGAGAUCAUGAUCUGAGCUGAAAUCAUGAGUCAGACGCUUAACUGACUGAGCCACCCAGGUGCCUCACCUUAUCUCCUUUUGUCAUAGAUAUUGCCAAAUGUCUCUGUAAAGAGGUUGUAACAAUGUGUCCUCCCCCAGCAGUGUAUGGAAGCAGUGUGUAGAAUAAAUACAAAGCCAAUGACCAA